CAAAUAGCGGCUAAGGGCUUGCUCUUAGCCACGUUCGAUCGAGUGUCGGCU
RNAcentral lists this ribosomal RNA (51 nucleotides) under Gyrodactylus leptorhynchi. RNAcentral describes it as "partial 5.8S ribosomal RNA". Lineage: Eukaryota; Metazoa; Platyhelminthes; Monogenea; Gyrodactylidea; Gyrodactylidae. The record is from RNAcentral.